UACGUAGGUGGCAAGCGUUGUCCGGAUUUACUGGGCGUAAAGCGCGUGUAGGCGGCUCGUUAAGUCUGUCGUGAAAUCUCCCGGCUUAACCGGGAUAGGUCGACGGAUGCUGGCGGGCUUGAGGGGAGCAGAGGAAGGUGGAAUUCCCGGUGUAGUGGUGAAAUGCGUAGAUAUCGGGAGGAACACCAGUGGCGAAGGCGGCCUUCUGGGCUCUACCUGACGCUGAGACGCGAAAGCGUGGGGAGCGAACCGG
This 253-nucleotide ribosomal RNA is filed under the name uncultured bacterium. RNAcentral's name for it is "partial 16S ribosomal RNA". It matches the Rfam family "Bacterial small subunit ribosomal RNA", at positions 524 to 776 of the family's 1533-position model. The record is from RNAcentral.